CUUUCGAAAGGGCGUUCAGGCCGCUCAGGCCACUCUUCGUUCUUAUCGACAGACGCUCGCCUGCUCCUCCUCCACCGCCGCUCAGAGGCUGCCCCGGCGGGCUCUGGCCGCCUCCUGUCGGCGCCGCCCCAGCCCGGGCUCUCCAGGGACUCCCGGGGGCGAGGAGGACGCCUGCCUCCCCGCUUUUAGGGGUGGGGGGUGUUUGGGGACGACGGGAGAGCUCCGCGCCUACGUGGACCCCAGCGGGAAGCGUGGCGGGGGAGGGGGGAGAUGGGGGAGGGGAAGGAGAGGGGGGCAGGAACCCCGGACCCAGUGGGCGGGAGGCGGGACCUUGCUCCCUGCUCGUCACCCUAGAGAAAGGGAGAGGCCGGGGUCUAGCCUUUCCGGGCUGGCCUCCCGCUUCGGGUGCUGUGGCUGAGAAGGGGGCGCUAGUGGAAUCCAGCACCGAGGUCUCCUGGAAAGGCAGCCAAGCUAAAACACAAGUUCUAUAACUCGGGCAGGUGCAGAAACAUCAGGAACCAAAACUACCAGGACAGAGAAAUGUGAGAAGCAAAUUAAAUGCCAGAGGUGUAUUCAUAAAGAAGAUUCAGCCAAAAGUCUACUCUGCCAGAUAUGGACUAUUUUCUACUUACCCAAUCAAUGUAGAACAAAUCAGACCUCCCCUCCUCCAGUUGCCAUGAAAUCUCCCUAAGCUCUGGAUCAGGAAGACAGAUUUGAACAUUGUCCCCUGUCUCCUUGUAGGUCUACCUUGCAAUAAAACUCUUUUCUCACAAAACCAAUGCCACGGUGUUGGUCUCUGAGCAUGGGGGGCAGCGAGCCCAGAUCCACAGCCUGGCCGCCUGGGCAUAUACAUGCUGGCAUUGGAUUUCAGGGCUGGGGCCUGGGACGAGUCCCUGCUCCCACAGGUCACAGCUUCUGAGUCUCUGCUUGCCCUCUCUUAUCCUGGAGGGCAGCCUUCAUCAGGAACCGUCGUCCUCGUUCAUUCCUGCCCUUGCCCUCCCCAGGACCGGCAGCAUCUCUUUCAUAAAGGCCCACUAGCUUGCUGAGUGCAGGUGGCCCAAAGGGGCUGAUAAUGUGUAUGCUUUAAAACCCCACCAGAGCCUGGAAGAUCCGCGUGACACCUUCCCACACACCUCGCUCCCCACUCCACACGGCGUGUGCUCCUCCUCCUCUAAGCCGGGUGUGCUGCUCCCUAACCCUUCAGGCUUCUUUGCAGGUCUUCCGAACCCUCCAAGCACAGGCAAUUUCUCUUUCCUAUGCCCGUAAAACUCUUCCCAAGAUAUUCCCUAAGGUCUCUGGCCUUCUUCAGCCUCCUACUCUGUGUAGCUAAUUUGUCGCUCACAUAUCAUCUUAUCACGGAGGCCUUCCUGGUGGCUCUACUGGAGAGAACGGCACCCUCUCUAAAACACAUACCCUGCCCCCUUUCUACUUGUGUUUUCCUUCAGAGCAGUUAGUUCCUUCUGGCAUAGCAUAAAAUUUAUUUUCUACCUACCAGGUUGACAAAGAAAGGAAUUUUUGCCCUUUCAUUCGUGACUGUUUCGUUCACAGCUUCUAAAACUAAGCCCACGCUAGAUGCUCGCGAUACAUUUAUUUGCUGAAUGAACGGAUGGAUGUGCACCCCUUGGCGAGGCGGUGUAAACCAGCGGAACUUCGGCUGACUCCUCAGCAUUUGCCGUUUGCCUCCUCAAGUUGCCAGCAGCUCAGAUUCCAGCACUGUCCAUAGAGUUGGAACUGGCGGUCCUCAAACUUCAGUGUGCAACCGAAUCACCUACAGGGCUUGUGGCCGGGAGCUCUGAUUCAGUAGGUCAGGGUAAGGCCUGAGAAGUUUAUAUUUGUAGCAGGUUCCUCGGUGAGGCCACACUUUGAGAACCACAUUUGGGGCAGUGAUUGGUUCAGAAAUCCACGCUAAAGCCACUCGGCACAGCAGGCCCUGGCUUUUGUCUUUGCACCAGAGGGGUACAUCCUCAUGCUGGUCCAGUCCCCUUGGUCCCAUCUCCUUGAAAGACUGAAAGACAGCUCCUUUCUCCUGUAAGGGCAAAUGCAAAUUUAUAAUCAUGAUAAAGGACUUAAUUCUCCCUGUUGAACAGAAGGAAGAAACUUCCUCCUUCUUCCCAUCUCUCUUCACAUUUACUUUAGAGAACCUAUAAUUGUUAAGUUCCUUUUUCCUUUUCCUUUAAAAUGUAUGCAAAGAACGAAAAGAAAAAAAAAGGAAAGAAAAAGGAAUAAUAAUGAAGGAAAAAAGUAUGUAAAUUUCAGAUUUAUAAGGUUGAAUGAGUUUCUUAUGUGAAAUUGGAAUGAUAAAUGAUUUUAUUAACCAUCUUGAUUUGCUUGAGCUUCCAUUUUAUCCAGGGGAUUAUAAAGAAGAAACAGGCUAAAUGAAGCAGGCUGACAUACCAAUAAUCCUUUGUGAUGUUAAUAAAGACUCCUGCCUCAGUCUGGGAGGAAGAACUGUAAUAAGGAUUUCAAGCUGACUCCAGCAAGGUCUGCUGAUCUUCACCAAAGGACCACAAUCUUAAACCAACAUCCUCUAGGUCACCCUACCCCAACAGCCCCUGUCGCCCCCAUAGUAACCAUAAAUCAUGCCCCUUUACCCCUCCCCAUUCCCACACCUUCCCUUUGUCUCAAGCAGCCAUAUAAGCUGCUCCCCCAGCUCACCCCUUCCAGCAGAAACCUCUUUUGGUGCUGCUCCUGCAUCAAUGUAAUUUUAGCUCAGUAAGCUUGCUCUGCACCACCUUUUGAAUCUGUUUCUUUUAUUUUCAGCACAAGUAUAAUUUAAAAUACAUAUUUUAAAUGCUUAUUAUGUCUUC
Molecule: long non-coding RNA, 2807 nt
Filed under: Dasypus novemcinctus (nine-banded armadillo)
Lineage: Eukaryota; Metazoa; Chordata; Mammalia; Cingulata; Dasypodidae
Description: lncRNA (ENSDNOG00000051415.1)
Source: RNAcentral